CAGCCGCCGCGGUAAUACGUAGGGUGCAAGCGUUAAUCGGAAUUACUGGGCGUAAAGCGUGCGCAGGCGGUUAUAUAAGACAGAUGUGAAAUCCCCGGGCUCAACCUGGGAACUGCAUUUGUGACUGUAUAGCUAGAGUACGGCAGAGGGGGAUGGAAUUCCGCGUGUAGCAGUGAAAUGCGUAGAUAUGCGGAGGAACACCGAUGGCGAAGGCAAUCCCCUGGGCCUGUACUGACGCUCAUGCACGAAAGCGUGGGGAGCAAACAGGAUUAGAUACCCGGGUAGUCCCUGUCUCUUAUAU
This 301-nucleotide ribosomal RNA is filed under the name uncultured bacterium. RNAcentral's name for it is "partial 16S ribosomal RNA". It matches the Rfam family "Bacterial small subunit ribosomal RNA", at positions 509 to 809 of the family's 1533-position model. The record is from RNAcentral.